ACGGGUGAGUAACACGUGGGCAAUCUGCCCUGCACUCUGGGACAAGCCCUGGAAACGGGGUCUAAUACCGGAUAUUACCUUCUGCCGCAUGGCGGGGGGUGGAAAGCUCCGGCGGUGCAGGAUGAGCCCGCGGCCUAUCAGCUUGUUGGUGGGGUGAUGGCCUACCAAGGCGACGACGGGUAGCCGGCCUGAGAGGGCGACCGGCCACACUGGGACUGAGACACGGCCCAGACUCCUACGGGAGGCAGCAGUGGGGAAUAUUGCACAAUGGGCGAAAGCCUGAUGCAGCGACGCCGCGUGAGGGAUGACGGCCUUCGGGUUGUAAACCUCUUUCAGCAGGGAAGAAGCGCAAGUGACGGUACCUGCAGAAGAAGCACCGGCUAACUACGUGCCAGCAGCCGCGGUAAUACGUAGGGUGCGAGCGUUGUCCGGAAUUAUUGGGCGUAAAGAGCUCGUAGGCGGCUUGUCGCGUCGGAUGUGAAAGCCCGGGGCUUAACUCCGGGUCUGCAUUCGAUACGGGCAGGCUAGAGUUCGGUAGGGGAGAUCGGAAUUCCUGGUGUAGCGGUGAA
Molecule: ribosomal RNA, 569 nt
Filed under: Streptomyces sp.
Lineage: Bacteria; Bacillati; Actinomycetota; Actinomycetes; Kitasatosporales; Streptomycetaceae
Also listed under: 1 other name
Description: bacterial SSU rRNA
Rfam family: Bacterial small subunit ribosomal RNA
Source: RNAcentral